CUGAAUUUUGCAGCAAUGGGCAUUCCUAAGGGAAAAAGGUGAAUGAGACAUGGGUCUGAAGGCUUUGGCAACAGCUACAUAAUCAUAUGUAGGGACAUAAUCAUAUGUAGGGAUGUGGGUGGCGCUGUGGGUUAAACCACAGAGCCUAGGACUUGCUGAUCAGAAGGUCGGCGGUUCGAAUCCCCACGAUGGGGUGAGCUCCCAUUGCUCGGUCCCUGCUCCUGCCAACCUAGCAGUUCGAAAGCACAUCAAAGUGCAAGUAGAUAAAUAGGUACCGCUUUGGCGGGAAGGUAAACGACGUUUCCGUGUGCUGCUCUGGUUUGCCAGAAGCGGCUUAGUCAUGCUGGCCACAUGACCAGGAAGCUGUACGCCAGCUCCCUCGGCCAAUAAAGCGAGAUGAGCGCCGCAACCCCAGAGUCGGCCACGACUGGACCUAAUGGUCAGGGGUCCCUUUACCUUUACUUACAUAAUCAUAUAACUGAAAUGAAUUGGUGAGUAUCAGAACUAGCUGUGUCAUCUGACUUGUUUUCAACAUUUUUACAUGUGAUGCAAUAAUUUCCUUUAGCAGUAAUGAUGGAAGUUGAGUCUGCCUUUUACCACACUAUUAGCUAUUUACACACACACACACACACAAAAUUAUUUUUUAAAAGAUUUUAUCCCACUAUUUUCAGAACAAAUCAUAGAACUGAACAAAUGAUGGUGCUGCUUAAUAUUUGAUAUUCUCAACAGACACGCUUAAGGUUGUGGUACUCAGUACUCAGGCACUGAUGGGACUCACUACACCAACAUCAUCGGAAGGUUGUUUAAUCUCUUCUCAAAGCCACUACAAAGAAGGAUCUACCAGAAUUCCCCCAGAAAAGAUUGCUACAUUCUUGAAAAUGACAAUAGGUUUGGAAGUAAUUAAUAACAUUGUAAAAUGAGCUGGGGGGUGCCUUGAAAGAAAUAAUCAUGGAUUGUUGAGUUUCAUAAGAAUAAAAAAUGUGGUUCCAUCUUUUAAGUAUUAUGUCAUAGUUUGUGACAGCAUAAUGUGAAAGCACAUAAGAAAGCAUCCAAAAUUAUCAAUUCCUUUUUUCAUGUACUAACACAUGUUAAAUUAGUCAGUAAGCCUUGAAGUUCUGCAUACCUGGUGAUUAAUUUGUUGUUUUGUGUUAAAAAAAGAGGUUCUAUCAUGCUAGAUUUACAGCACUACAAAAUUUCACAAUGUUGCAAUGCUGUCUUCAAUUCAGCUGCUUCAUAUUGAAAUUUCACACACAAUAAUUGGCUGACCUUCACAGCUAUGGUAGAAACUAAUUAAAGCUGUAAGGCUUUGCUAGCUAUUGCUUUUGUGUGAAAUGUGAAGUUUGGUGAUAAUGAAAUAUGGGGUGCAGAUGUUAUUGUCUUGGAUAGACUAUGCCUUUGGUUCACACUAAUGAAGAACAGCAAUUAUUAAAUAAGAAGUAUUUUAACCAUUCACUAUUUGUGUCUUGCAAGAAUAAAAUUUAUCUAGUAUUUUGUCUUCUUCUAACUUAUUUAAAACAUGAUCAGAGUGUAGGGGGGAUUUUAGAAUAACAGAUGGUUAUAUAAUUUUAUUUUUAGUAUUGAUCAUGGAUCUUAAGUGGGGGGCGUGGGAAACCUAUAGAUAGAAGAAUUUGCUUUUCCUCAACAAGAAGAAAUCAGGACAUGGAAGGAACCUGAUGCCUGACUUUUCUGCAGAGAAGAACAUGCAUGUCUGCCAUAGAACAUCUCCCACAUGUAGGGUCCAGGCUGUGUGCGCACAAACAGAGUAUCCCUGAGUAUCUGAGUGUUGGUGCUGACCUUUAAAACCAUAAACAGCCUCGGCCCAGUAAACCUAAAAGAGCAUCUCCACCCCCAUCAUUCAGCCCGGAGACUGAGGUCCAGCUCCAAGAGCCUUCUGGCGGUUCCCUCCCUUCGAGAAGCAAAGUUACAGGGAACCAGACAGAGGGCCUUCUUGGUAGUGGCACCCACCCUGUGGAAUGCCCUCCCAUCAGAUGUUAAGGAGAUAAACAACUAUACAACCUUUGGAAAACAACAUUUUGAAAGUUUUUUGAUGUAUAGGAAAGUUUUUUAAUGUUUAAUGUUUUAUUAUAUUUUAAUGUAAGUUGGGGUGUGAUGCGGGUGGCGCUGUGGUCUAAACCAAUGAGCUUGGGCUUGCCAAUCAGAAGGUCGGCGGUUCGAAUCCCCAUGACAGGGUGAGCUCCCGUUGCUUGGUCCCAGCUCCUGCCAACCUAACAGUUCAAAAGCACAUCAAAGUGCAAGUAGAUAAAUAGGUACCGCUCCGGUGGGAAGGUAAACAGUGUUUCCAUGCGUUGCUCUGGUUUCCAGAAGCGGCUUAGUCAUGCUGGUCACAUGACCCGGAAAAACUGUCUGUGGACAAACGCCGGCUCCCUCGGCCAGUAAAGCGAGAUGAGCGCCGCAACCCCAGAGCCACUCGUGACUGGACUUAACUGUCAGGGGUCCUUUACCUUUACUUUUAAUGUAUGUUGGAAGCCACCCAAUGUUGUUGUUGCUGCUGCUAUUUCUCCAGCCUCCACCUGUUUGCCGAAGCGUCAUGAGAUGACAAGUGCAUAAGAUGACAUGUGUCCCAUUCUGUUGCACACUCAUUUCUCUAAAUUAGAUUUUGAUGGGACUUGGCCUUUAAACAAAAGUCCACAUUAACCACAUACCAGUAAGUCAUUGGGGAGUAUGUUUGAUAGUAUGGAACCAGACCUGAGGAGAUGUAGGUUCAGCCAUGAAGCUCACGGGGCGACCUUGAGCCACGUCCUCUCUCACACAUGCACAGACCCACACAUCUUUAUGCCACAUGAUCAAUGUCAGGAUUAAAUCCUAUCCUGAGCUAUGUUAAGAGUUAGGGAUAAAAUAUAAUUAAAACACUUAUUUCUAGGAAUGAAUGGACUUGUUGUUUGGGGUUAUGUUAUAUUGUACCUAUUAUGCUUCAUGUUGUAAUCCAGGAGUGGAGGACCUUUGACGCUCCAGAUGUUGUUGGACUUUAACUCCCCUCAGCCCAGUCAGCACAGCCAAUGGUUAUGGACGAUGGGAGUUGUAGUCUAGCAUCACCUGGAAGGACAAAGUUUUCCCACCUCUGCUGUCAUGUAAUAUUUUUCUUUCUGUUGAUGAUGAUGACUAACAAUAAGUAGAUAAUCUGAAAGUUUACAGUUUUAAUGUAUAAAGGACUACCUUUAUACAGUGGUACCUUGGGUUACAUAUGCUUCAGGUUACAUACGCUUCAGGUUACAUACGCUUCAGGUUACAGACUCCACUAACCCAGAAAUAUUACCUCGGGUUAAGAACUUUGCUUCAGGAUGAGAACAGAAAUCAUGCUCUGGUGGCGCGGCAGCAGCAGGAGGCCCCAUUAGCUAAAGUGGUCUUCAGGUUAAGAACAGUUUCAGGUUAAGAACGGACCUCCAGAACGAAUUAAGUUCUUAACCCAAGGUACCACUGUAAUCUGAAAGUUUACAGUUUUGAUGUAUAAAGGACUACCUUUCUAUUAUUCUACAACUUCCAUCCCAAUUUUUCUGUUCAGAGGCUCUGUUCUCAGAAAAUACAACAUAGGCAGUUACCUCUGUAGGACCUUGUUUUUAACACCAAUGCCCCUGUUCAUUUCUUUUGAGGAAUUCAUUCUUCAAAAUUCAGAGUAUUUUUUCUUUAAGGAGUUCUGACAAUCCUAGAGUUAAGUAAUAGUGUCUUCAGAAAGGUCUAUUGUGGGCCUGAAUUUUAGUAAUUGACACCAAUAACAUAACAACAUUAAAUCAUCCACGUUUUUAUAGUGGAUAAGCCUUUAUGCUUGUAAAUAUGUUAAAGGAUAGCAUGUAGGUGGUAGAAGAAUUAUGCUACGAUUUUAACAGCUAAUAAAUCUUUAUUUAAGCAAGGGACCUCUAAAAUUUAAUUAGGCAUAUAAAAGCAGAGAUCAUUCAGAGGGUAAAAAUAUACCAAUUCUCAUACGAAAAGACAUCUGCUUUGUGAAAUUUUUUAAGGUUAAAAUUUACUCUUCUGUUCCUGUGUCAAUAGAAAUAGUUCUCCUGGUGGAAUUACAAAUGUGUAGCUUAAGAAGAAAAAAAAUCAUCAGCAAAUGUCAAGAUAUGAAAGAGCACUAUCUUUUUAGUGUGUCUUGCUGCCGUUGCAUGACUUUAAAGACUGCCAUUCCAGUCUAUAAGAAAAAGCCUCACCAUGAAACCUCAUUGCGUGGAAGUCAAAGAAGUGUUGUUGUCUUCAAGGUUAUUAUUACGAUUAUUGUUGUUUGUACUAUUGACCAGUAAAAUGCACAUGACCACUGCAGGCAGGGUAUUUCUGGAGGAAAUUAGCUGUGAAUUAGCUAAAUACUCUCAAGUCCAAUGGACAGCAUCACUCUUUUUUUAAAAAAAAGUUUUUAUUAAAGAAUUUUCAUAGAUAACAAGGGUACAUAUAACACCUCUGUUUUCAAUUCAUAGAGUCCUUCCUACAGGUCAGUUACAUUCGGUGUGAGACACUGUAAGGUAAAGGUAAAGGUACCCCUGCCCGUACGGGCCAGUCUUGACAGACUCUAGGAUUGUGCGCUCAUCUCACUCUAGAGGCCGGGAGCCAGCGCUGUCCGCAGACACUUCUGGGUCACGUGGCCAGCGUGACGAAGCUGCUCUGGCAAGCCAGAGCCGCACACGGAAACGCCGUUUACCCUCCCGCUAGUAAGCGGUCCCUAUUUAUCUACUUGCACCCGGGGGUGCUUUCGAACUGCUAGGUUGGCAGGCGCUGGGACUGAGCAACGGGAGCGCACCCCGCCGCGGGGAUUCGAACCGCCGACCAUGCGAUCGGCAAGUCCUAGGCGCUGAGGUUUUACCCACAGCGCCACCCGCAUCCCUUGUGAGACACUGUAGUCAUAAGCAAAAGAAUAAAAAGAUCAUUGCCUGCCUUCUUUCUCCCUCCCUCUCUCCCCCAUUCUCUCCCCCGCAGCCUCACAAUGUCUAUGGCAGCAUCACUCUUGAGAAAUCAGGAAGAAGGCUUCUCCACCCACCUGAGAACAAACUUCUUUUCAACUGGAGAUAUCCAAAAGUGCAUUGGGGAACCUUGUGAACAUAAACACUUGCAGU
Molecule: non-coding RNA, 5057 nt
Organism: Podarcis lilfordi (Lilford's wall lizard)
Lineage: Eukaryota; Metazoa; Chordata; Lepidosauria; Squamata; Lacertidae
Source: the annotation of a GenBank genome assembly